UACAGAGGGGGCAAGCGUUAUUCGGAAUUAUUGGGCGUAAAGGGCGCGUAGGCGGCUUGGCAAGUGGAUGGUGAAAUCCCUCGGCUUAACCGAGGAACUGCCGUCGAAACUGCUUUGCUUGAGGCCGGGAGAGGUGAGUGGAAUUCCAGGUGUAGCGGUGAAAUGCGUAGAUAUCUGGAGGAACACCGGUGGCGAAGGCGGCGUCCUGGACCAACACUGACGCUGAUGAGCGAAAGCCAGGGGAGCAAACGGG
This 253-nucleotide ribosomal RNA is filed under the name uncultured bacterium. RNAcentral describes it as "partial 16S ribosomal RNA". It matches the Rfam family "Bacterial small subunit ribosomal RNA", at positions 524 to 776 of the family's 1533-position model. The record is from RNAcentral.